Homo sapiens (human) is the source of this 284-nucleotide long non-coding RNA. Lineage: Eukaryota; Metazoa; Chordata; Mammalia; Primates; Hominidae. The record is from Ensembl.
GUUUUUUCAAAUAUUUAACAUCCUUGCUUGGUUGAAUCCACGGAUGCGGAACCCAUAGAUCCUGAGGGCCGACUCUACCCCCUUCUGAGAACAUCCCCCACAGAUGGCUGGGCUGGGUGGAGUCUGGAUAGUUAGACCCCAGCACCUGUGAGUCACGCAGACCCAGAAGCAGGAAGCAGACAGUAAGUGACAGCCGCUAAGACGCAGGGAGGCUGGGCCAGGGCUGGGGCACGAGGGUACCUUCACCUGGGCGUCAGAAGCACUUGAGAGGACAGGGGCUGCUG